Molecule: ribosomal RNA, 492 nt
Filed under: uncultured bacterium
Lineage: Bacteria
Description: partial 16S ribosomal RNA
Rfam family: Bacterial small subunit ribosomal RNA
Source: RNAcentral
AGUGAACGCUGGCGGUAGGCCUAACACAUGCAAGUCGAACGGCAGCACAGUAAGAGCUUGCUCUUACGGGUGGCGAGUGGCGGACGGGUGAGUAAUACAUCGGAAUCUACUUUUUCGUGGGGGAUAACGUAGGGAAACUUACGCUAAUACCGCAUACGACCUACGGGUGAAAGCAGGGGAUCUUCGGACCUUGCGCGAAUGAAUGAGCCGAUGUCGGAUUAGCUAGUUGGCGGGGUAAAGGCCCACCAAGGCGACGAUCCGUAGCUGGUCUGAGAGGAUGAUCAGCCACACUGGAACUGAGACACGGUCCAGACUCCUACGGGAGGCAGCAGUGGGGAAUAUUGGACAAUGGGCGCAAGCCUGAUCCAGCCAUACCGCGUGGGUGAAGAAGGCCUUCGGGUUGUAAAGCCCUUUUGUUGGGAAAGAAAAGCAGCAGGUUAAUACCCCGCUGUUCUGACGGUACCCAAAGAAUAAGCACCGGCUAACUUCGUG